AGCUCCAAUAGCGUAUAUUAAAGUUGUUGCGGUUAAAAGCUCGUAGUUGGAUUUCUGUCGAUGAGUGUCGGUCGGCCCCCAGUGGUUUGUACUUGUCACGCCAUCGACAUCUUCCUGGGGACUGUAUCUGCUCUUUACUGAGUGGUGCAUAAUCCAGGACUUUUACUUUGAAGAAAUGAGAGUGUUUCAAGCAGGCAAUCGCCGUGAAUACGUUAGCAUGGAAUAAUAGCAUCGGACCUCGUUCCAAAGCUGUUGGUUUCUUGGACCGAGGUAAAGGUGAAUAGGGAUUGUUGGGGGGCAUUCGUA
RNAcentral lists this ribosomal RNA (306 nucleotides) under uncultured eukaryote. RNAcentral's name for it is "SSU rRNA". It matches the Rfam family "Eukaryotic small subunit ribosomal RNA", at positions 587 to 896 of the family's 1831-position model. The record is from RNAcentral.